This 204-nucleotide unclassified non-coding RNA is filed under the name Hevea brasiliensis (rubber tree). Lineage: Eukaryota; Viridiplantae; Streptophyta; Magnoliopsida; Malpighiales; Euphorbiaceae. The record is from RNAcentral.
AAAAUGAAAGGAAGCAAAAUGACAGUGGAAAAUAACAAGAAAUCAUCAUGCAUAUCAGUCCCAAAUUCUAUCAACAAGAGUAAAGGGCAGAGAGAUAGGCAAGCUACCAUACCCAAUGAAGAUGUUGACAGACCAAUCUUGAAGACCUAAAAAUGUAAAAUAAAUUCAGAAGGUAAGAACUCACAGCUGUGAGGUGCUGGUGGU